CAUACUUUCUUUUUCCUUGGCUACCCACUGAGGUAGCAGUUCUGGUGGAGUUCAGCUGCCCAGCAAGGUAAAACCACCACAGGGAAAUAAGCAAAGGAAUGAAUAUGAAGUAGCCGAAGCAAAGGAGCUGAAAAGGGCAGGCUGAUGCUGCAAUGAGAGCAGUAGCAGGAUGCUAUCACAGCAAGAAAUGAACUGCUGGUGGAAAAUAUUUUCCGUAGAUGAUUACAAAUUUUUUCAGGUGAGAUUUCAAAGGUAAGAGAGUCAGGUGUCUAAUUUCCUACAUUCCUUAAAAAAUUCCAACCAGAAAGACAGCUGACAUAAGCAGUUGAUAUUUGUCCCUAAAAGAGAAGGUGAAAGUAUAUCUGCACAUUUUUUUUUUUUUUUAAUGAUUUUUUAAGAUGAUUAUCAGGCAAUGUUUAUACCUGGAGCAAUUAUAUAGUGAAGGCUAUAGAGUUAGGACUUGUAAUACUGUCUAUUAUUCAUUGAACGCCUACAUUGCAUUCAGGGAAAGGUACAAUCCAUGCUCCAAGGAGCUUUGCUGUCAUGUUCAUGAUUAAUGAUUGUAGCAUUCAUGUGGACUUGGGCAGCUCUCAGUUUCAGAAAGCUGUAUCGGUAAGUUUGAUAUUUGGGGGGUGGAGGGGGAGGGAGAAGAGAGAGGGAGAAGGGAGAAGGGAGAGGGGGAGGGAGAAGAGAGAAUAGUAAAAGUACUGACAAUAAGGUUUUGUAGCUUCUGUGGUUUAGCUGAGGUUUGUAAAAUGCAUGUCAUCCAAAAUCAUUUUUUAACAGGAGUCUUUUGGGACUGGGUGAAGUGCUGCUGAAUUCUAGACCAGACAUGGAUUCUGUUUCAUUUUUCAGUCAUUAUGGUAGACAUCUACCAGUUGUGCCUGCUUCCUUGAUCACUGGUGUGCCAAGAGACAGGCUUUAUCCCAGGAUGAAUGCUGUAACUUCCCAUGAGAAACAAAAGUUUAUCAUUUGCCAGCUGCUAUUCCAGAAGGGAAUGAAUUUCCCAUGGAUCCUGUACCAUAUUAAGCUGAUGUUUCAGCACGUCUGAAUCCAGCUUUUGGACAUGGUUUUGUAUUAUGCUCCAGGAAGCUGAAGUCUGUGAUCUCUAUGCUGUGAAUUUGAGUAAUUAAAAGGCUUGCAUAUCCCCAC
RNAcentral lists this long non-coding RNA (1152 nucleotides) under Anas platyrhynchos platyrhynchos (common mallard). RNAcentral describes it as "lncRNA (ENSAPLG00000018414.1)". Lineage: Eukaryota; Metazoa; Chordata; Aves; Anseriformes; Anatidae. The record is from RNAcentral.